AAUGCAAUUUCAGGCCAUUUACUGUAAUAGUCUAUCAAGGUUAUAGCAAAUCUACAGUCUAUAGGAGCAUCUGUAACAGGACCGACAAAAUCAUUAGCAAGUUUUCCCCAUGCUGAAUCAGGGAAUGGUACUGGAAGAAGUGGUGGUGUAUGUGUGAUAGCUGUUUUGUCAUGAUUCUGACAAGUAACUCAAGAAUGAAUGGCAGUUACCACAUCAGCACAGUUUGCUAUCAUACAAUAACGAUGAGACACAGAUAACAUCAUCAGCCACUGAUUCUAACUGAUGCCAUUCCUAAGCAAAGUUUCUAAGGAUAUAUUUUUAGAGCAAGAUGACAAGGUUAAGAAUGAGUUUCCACAAGUGGUUGGAACUAUCUCUGGUAGCUAUGCCAACAGUUAUGUAUUGGACAGACUAUGAAGACAAAUAUUUUCUUUGUUAAAGAACUGCCAGGUUAUAGCUUUGGAAAACUUUCAAAAAUGCUACAUUUUCCCCAUGAUUCUGUAAUUCUUUCCAUUAUUAUGUAGAUACAUUGGUCGGCGAAGAUCUCUGCUUUAAUAUAAACACGAAAGGUACUGUUUAUGGAUACUGUAAAAAAGUUGGACGCACCUACAAACCCUGUGAACCUGAGAAUGUGAUGUGCGGAGUGCUGUAUUGCAACAGUGAUAACAAAUAUCCGACAGUUCCUGGUCCUGUUGCUGUGAAGGGUGAAUGCAAAGCCCUUCUAGUUCCUGGAGGAAUGGUGCAGAAUGGAAUAAAAUGUGGAGAUGGGAAGGCAAGUGUCCAUAAAUGCCAUUAUAGAUAGUCGAUAAUGAUCAUUUGGAAUUAGGCUGUUAUGUUAAUUAGAUCUGUAGAUUCUGUAAGUAUUUGGAAACUAAGAAAUGUAUGUUGUCCCUGGUUGCCUCGGGGAACUAGUGAUUGUAAGCUCCCUGGCAAUAAUGUCAUCCCUCUAAACGUUGCUACAAAUGCUAUCAUCCCUGGAGAACAAUUAAUAUCUAGACGCAGGGACGUGACAUGACCCCAAAGUGUCAAUCUAAUAAGCUAUUUAGGUCCCUCAGCACAGGUUACACCAGUGUUAUUUGAUUCUUCCAUUCAGUCUGGUGAUGGUAUCGUACACACAACAUUAUCUGAAGGUCCAGAUGACUUCUGAGACUACUCUCUCCCCAUUUCUAGGACUUACAGUAUGUCUCUCUUGUUCCCUUCCCAGGUUUGUUACGGCAAUGAAUGUGUGUCUGUUAAAACUGCCUUUGGCUAAUCUGGGUGUGACGGCAAGUGCUCAGGAAAUGGGGUACCAGUGACCAAGACCUAGAUGACCCUCCUCAUACUGAAUACUUUAUUGGCAUGGACACAAUGUAGAGGCUGAUCAACUGGUCCGAACCAAGAAUUGCUUAGAUUUUAGUGUAAAGAAUCAUUUUAAGUUAGAAACACAAACAAUAAAAGUUUAUAACACUCACAAAACAGUGGUCUGUAUGUUUUUCCGAAGGCUUCAGGGUGAAUUCUACAUUGGCAGAAUUCAUCUAUUACAUUCAUUUAAAUAUAUAUCUCUUCUGAGACUAUAUAUUCUUCUUCCUUUUGUUUGUCAUUCUAAAGAAACAAAAUACUAAAUACAGAGGGUAAAUAGUUUCACUGCACUUAAAUGAUGGGACCUGUUAUACAGAAUGCUUGGGACCUGGGGUUUUCCACAUAAGGGGUCUUUCUGU
Molecule: long non-coding RNA, 1694 nt
Organism: Xenopus laevis (African clawed frog)
Lineage: Eukaryota; Metazoa; Chordata; Amphibia; Anura; Pipidae
Exons: 3
Source: RefSeq, a predicted model, not a curated record